Long non-coding RNA from Leopardus geoffroyi (Geoffroy's cat), 958 nucleotides. RefSeq lists it as uncharacterized. Lineage: Eukaryota; Metazoa; Chordata; Mammalia; Carnivora; Felidae. The record is from RefSeq and is a predicted model, not a curated record. The transcript has 3 exons.
GUUUACUGUUAUAUCACGUUCAUAACUGGGCCACAGACAGGUUCAACUUUUGGCCUCUUUCCCCUAAUCUCAGGUCCAAUUUCAGUUUGUUUAGGAUCACCGCCAUUUAAAGGGAUUGAAUGGAUCCGGAGGAAGAGUGGAUGGCCUCAGCUGCCUUGCGCACAACCACUGCUCCCACAGAUGCAGCCAUGAAGCCUCUGAGCUUUCAGACCAAAAACGAAUUCUUCUAAAAUCCCAACCAGACAAACUUAACAUGUCAAGAUUUCUCCAACCCUUGAGGAAAACCAAACGUGGGACGGCAACAGUCCCACUUUUGGGGACAUUCUGUUCCGGAUUCUGAUUCAGACUCUGUUCCGGAUUCUGAUCCUCUCUCCCACCAGAACCAGGUGAAAGUUCAAGGCAGACUAAAGAAAGAGCCCUGCCCCAAGCAGCGUCCCUCAGCAUCUCUGGGAGAUGUCAAUGUUAGAUCGGUCUCCCUACGAAGGGGACACUACCCAGAUGGAACGGGGCAGUGGAAGUCUUGCUAUCCCAGCCUGAAAGUGCUGAGGGCAGAUGCCUGUAUCCCUCAGACCCUUCAGAGAUGCCUCAGCUACAGAGAUACCACCUCAAUCAAGUCUGCACCCCUUCCUGGGAGCCCCACAUUCAGUGACCGAUUAAGGUGUUCCUCCCAGGAGAACUCUUCAAUAAUCACGGUGUAUUGAACAGUCCUUCAGAGUCAGCGUCCCGGAGAGCCCAGCCUGCAAUGCCUUAGCAGGGGAAGGGGAGAAGGGAGAACUGAAGUAAGCAGGAUCACUCAUUCUCAUGAACUGCAUGUUUUCUCCUUCCAGAACUCCCAGAAACCCCACUGCUGCCACUAUUUUUAGUGUUAGACCACAUCUUCUCUAACCAUUCAUCAGUCAAAAGACAUUUGGGCUCUUUCCAUAGCUUGACUAUUGUUGAUAAUGCUGUUACAAACAUC